Molecule: small nucleolar RNA, 67 nt
Organism: Limanda limanda (common dab)
Lineage: Eukaryota; Metazoa; Chordata; Actinopteri; Pleuronectiformes; Pleuronectidae
Product: small nucleolar RNA SNORD66
Exons: 1
Source: RefSeq, a predicted model, not a curated record
UUCCAGUGAUGACUUUUAUUUUUGUGUCUGGGCCACUGAUUUAUGGAUGGGAUGAAGAACCGAGGAG